RNAcentral lists this small RNA (2739 nucleotides) under Pan troglodytes (chimpanzee). Its description in RNAcentral is "retained intron". The record is from RNAcentral. Lineage: Eukaryota; Metazoa; Chordata; Mammalia; Primates; Hominidae.
AGACUACCGGCGGCGACGACCACGGGAGCAUGGCGGACACCGACCUGUUCAUGGAAUGUGAGGAGGAGGAGUUGGAGCCAUGGCAGAAAAUCAGUGAUGUCAUUGAGGACUCUGUAGUUGAAGAUUAUAAUUCAGUGGAUAAAACUACCACAGUUUCUGUGAGCCAGCAGCCAGUCUCGGCUCCAGUGCCCAUCGCUGCCCAUGCUUCUGUUGCUGGGCACCUCUCUACAUCCACCACCGUUAGUAGCAGCGGGGCACAGAACAGCGACAGUACAAAGAAGACUCUUGUCACACUAAUUGCCAACAACAAUGCUGGCAAUCCUUUGGUCCAGCAAGGUGGACAGCCACUCAUCCUGACCCAGAAUCCAGCCCCAGGUCUGGGCACAAUGGUUACUCAACCAGUAUUGAGGCCUGUUCAGGUCAUGCAGAAUGCCAAUCAUGUGACUAGUUCCCCUGUGGCCUCACAACCAAUAUUUAUCACUACGCAGGGAUUUCCUGUAAGGAAUGUCCGGCCUGUACAAAAUGCAAUGAAUCAGGUUGGGAUUGUGCUGAACGUACAGCAAGGCCAAACGGUUAGACCAAUUACACUAGUUCCAGCCCCAGGUACCCAGUUUGUUAAGCCGACAGUUGGAGUUCCACAAGUGUUCUCCCAGAUGACCCCUGUGAGGCCAGGCUCCACAAUGCCUGUGAGGCCCACCACCAACACCUUCACCACCGUCAUCCCGGCCACUCUUACCAUUCGAAGCACCGUCCCACAGUCCCAGUCCCAGCAGACCAAGUCCACUCCCAGCACUUCCACCACUCCCACUGCCACACAGCCAACCUCACUGGGGCAACUAGCUGUUCAGUCUCCAGGCCAGUCAAACCAGACCACGAAUCCCAAGCUAGCUCCCUCCUUCCCCUCUCCACCUGCAGUGAGCAUUGCCAGCUUUGUCACUGUGAAGCGACCUGGUGUUACAGGCGAAAAUAGCAAUGAAGUGGCCAAAUUGGUGAAUACCCUUAACACCAUCCCUUCCCUGGGCCAGAGUCCUGGGCCAGUGGUGGUGUCCAACAACAGCUCUGCUCAUGGCUCUCAAAGAACCAGCGGACCUGAGUCUUCAAUGAAAGGUACAAUAACCUGAAAGACUCUGAGCAGCCAGUCAUUCAAAAACAUUAAUAAAGUGUUUGUUGUAUCAGAGCUUUAUACUCAGAAAUAGAAAAAUAAAAUAAAAUACAGCUGCUGUAGUUUGUUCUUACAGAAACUUUAGUAAGGAGAAAGCCACUUACAAAAAGUGUAACUGAAUCAGCUCCAAGAAAUUCUGUGUGUAAUUGUGCUUUGGAGAUUAGUGAAAUUGAUUGAUUAAAGAUGGGUGAGAUAAUGAAAGAUAACUUCAUGGAAGAGAUGGAUUUCUGAGCAAGGUUUUAAAGUUGGGAUUUGGUAGAGAGAUCUUCAGGUUGAGAAUGAUGAGCAUGAGGGUUUUCAGUGGUCUAGAGCAGGGGUCGGCAAAUGUUUUCUGUAAAGGGCCUAGUAGUAAAGUUGUAGGCUUUGUGCACAAUAUAUAGCCUCUGUUGCAGCUAUUAACUGUGCUGUUGUGGUGGGGAAGCAGCCACAGAUACAUAAACGAAUGAGCAUGGCUGUGCUCCACUAAAAACUAUUUAUGGACUCUGAAAUUUAAGUUUCAUAAAAUUUUCAUGUGUCGAAAAGUUUUAUUCUUUUAUUUCAACCAUUUAAAAAUAAAAACCGCAAGGUAUAGUGGCUCACACCUCAUCCCAGCAUUAUGGGAGGCCAAGACGGGAGGAUCACUUGAGCCUAGGAGUUUGAGACCAGCCUGGGCAACAUGGUGAGAUCCCAUCUCUACAAAGAAAAAAAAAAAAAAGAUUAGCCAGGCGUGGUGGUGUAUGUCUGCAGUCCUCGCUACUCCGAAGUCUGAGGUGAGAGGAUGGCUUGGGCUUGAACCCAGAAGGUUGAGCCUGCAGUGAGCCAUGAUCAUGCCACUGCAACAGAACGACACCCUGUCUCAAAAAAAGUAAAAACCUUUAAAACAUGGUGUUGGGAAAACUAGAUACCCAUGUCCAAAAGAAGUUGGAUCUUACCUUACAAUAAAUACAAAAAUUAACUCAAAAUGGAUCAAAGACCUAAAUGAACUAAAACUAUAAGACUCUUAGAAAAAUUAUAGGACAAAAAGCUUCAUGAUACUGGAUUUGACAGUGAUUACUAUUUCUUGGAUAUGACACCAAAAGCAUACGCAAGAAAAGAAAAAAUGGGUAAAUUAAAUUAUAUCAAAAUUUAAAACUUUUGUGCAGGACGUUAUCAACAGUGAAAAGGGAAGCCACAGAAUGGGAGAAAAUAUUUGCAAAUUAUGUAUCUAAUAAGGGGUUAAUAUCCAGAAUAUAUAAGGAAUUUGUACAGUUCAACAACAAAAAAACUCCCAAACAACCUUUUUAAAAAAUAGACAAAGGACUGGCUGGGCGUGGUGGUUCACGCCUGUAAUCCUAGCACUUUGAGAGGCCGAGGCAGGUGGAUCACGAGGUCAGGAGUCCAAGACCAGCCUGACCAAUAAUGGUGAAACCCCGUCUAUACUAAAAAUACAAAAAUUAGCCAGGCGUGGUGGUGUGUGCCUGUAUUCCCUGCUGCUCGGGAGGCUGAGACACAAGAAUUGCUUGAACCUGGAAGGCAGAGGUUGUGGUGAGCCGAGAUCGUGCCACUACACUCCAGGCUGGGCAACAGAGAAAGACCCCAUCUCAAAAAAAAAAAAAAAA